AGAUUUGCGUAUUUUACUUACUAUCCGGUUUCGGCCCGUAUAAUUGAGGUGAAAGACCUCACAAAUCUU
This 69-nucleotide transfer RNA is filed under the name Melaenis sp. YZ-2018. RNAcentral's name for it is "tRNA-Arg". Lineage: Eukaryota; Metazoa; Annelida; Polychaeta; Phyllodocida; Polynoidae. The record is from RNAcentral.